RNAcentral lists this ribosomal RNA (845 nucleotides) under Clostridioides difficile. RNAcentral's name for it is "partial 23S ribosomal RNA". It matches the Rfam family "Bacterial large subunit ribosomal RNA", at positions 683 to 1534 of the family's 2925-position model. Lineage: Bacteria; Bacillati; Bacillota; Clostridia; Peptostreptococcales; Peptostreptococcaceae. The record is from RNAcentral.
UUUAACUGAGCGUUCAGUUACUUGACGUAGACCCGAAACCGGGCGACCUACCCAUGAGCAGGAUGAAGCGAAAGUAAAAUUUCGUGGAGGUCCGAACCCACGAGCGUUGAAAAGCUCGGGGAUGACUUGUGGGUAGCGGUGAAAUUCCAAUCGAGCCCGGAGAUAGCUGGUUCUCCCCGAAAUAGCUUUAGGGCUAGCCUCAAGGUGAGAGAUACGGAGGUAGAGCACUGAAUGUCCUAGGGGGUAUUGCACCUACCGAAGACUAUCAAACUCCGAAUGCCGUCAUCUUAUACUUGGGAGUCAGACUGUGGGUGAUAAGAUUCAUAGUCGAAAGGGCAACAGCCCAGAUCGUCAGCUAAGGUCCCUAAAUGUAAGUUAAGUGGUAAAGGAUGUGGGAUUGCACAGACAACCAGGAUGUUGGCUUAGAAGCAGCCACUCAUUCAAAGAGUGCGUAAUAGCUCACUGGUCGAGUGAUCCUGCGCCGAAGAUUUCCGGGGCUAAAACUUACUACCGAAGCUACGGCAUCAGUAAUGAUGGGUAGGGGAGCUUCCCAUACGGGUUGAAGCAUGACCGUAAGGACAUGUGGACAGUAUGGGAGUGAGAAUGUUGGCAUGAGUAGCGAGAUGUGGGUGAGAAUCCCACAGGCCGUAAACCCAAGGUUUCCAGGGGAAGGUUCGUCCGCCCUGGGUUAGUCGGGACCUAAGCUGAGGCCGAAAGGCGUAGGUGAUGGACAACAGGUUGAUAUUCCUGUACUACCGAUAACCGUUUGAGAGAAGGGAUGACACAGUAGGAUAAGCUAAGCACACUGUUGGUUAUGUGUGCCCAAGCAUUGAGGCAGUCAAAGU